Loxodonta africana (African savanna elephant) is the source of this 45-nucleotide regulatory RNA element. It matches the Rfam family "Histone 3' UTR stem-loop". Rfam says of the family: The mRNAs of metazoan histone genes lack a poly-A tail. 3' end processing occurs at a site between a highly conserved stem-loop (modelled by this family) and a purine rich region around 20 nts downstream (the histone downstream element, or HDE). The stem-loop is bound by a 31 kDa stem-loop binding protein (SLBP - also termed the histone hairpin binding protein, or HBP). NCBI's taxonomy places the organism in Eukaryota, Metazoa, Chordata, Mammalia, Proboscidea, Elephantidae. The record is from Rfam.
CCAAAGGCUCUUUUCAGAGCCACCCAAAUAUCUCUGACAAAAUAG